Non-coding RNA from Taeniopygia guttata (zebra finch), 687 nucleotides. The record is from RefSeq and is a predicted model, not a curated record. NCBI's taxonomy places the organism in Eukaryota, Metazoa, Chordata, Aves, Passeriformes, Estrildidae.
CCAUGGGAACCAGGAAGGCCCCGUCUGCCCAGUGACUUCGGGGGCACUGGGAAUUUUGUUCAUUUCACCAUCAGUAAGCGACACAUUUAUGAACGACUUUUUCAUUGGAGGGAGUUUUUACCUGCAAAAAAGACCGUUCCAUGGACUCUUGCCAACUUUCCUGACAUGUCUGCUGCAGCUUAUAGAUGUUUCUGUGAAGCUGCCUGUACCUUUCCUUACCCUUCGUUCCUAAGAGCGCAGCAAGUAUGAAAACUGCCAGGAUGCCUCGGAGUUGCUACCAUCUUCUCCGUCACUUUCUGCCCCUCUGCCACCCCAUCCCUCCUUUCCCUGAAGGAAGACAAGGUCAGAAACUGCCCAGAGCUGUCAUCAUCAUCAGAAUCCAACAGAGAAACACCGACAACACCAGUACAAAAGCCGAGAUCAAGCACUAAGGACUGUGCCCCUCAUGAAAGAGGAGACCAAGAACAGCACCCCUUUUGGUGAGAAGAUCAAAAGCCAAAGGAGAAUGAACUAUUAACCCCCUUAGCAAAAAUGUAUUCAUUUAAUUCAGUAUCAUCAUUUCUGUUAUUUUAUCCCCUGUAAUUAAGUCUCAAAUGCUUUUCUGUUACUGUUAAUUCAGCUUAAUAAUGUUCAUUCUGUUUUUGUAAACCAUUAAAUCAUAUUCCCGAGAAUCCUCUUGUUUUAACC